This 492-nucleotide ribosomal RNA is filed under the name uncultured bacterium. RNAcentral describes it as "partial 16S ribosomal RNA". It matches the Rfam family "Bacterial small subunit ribosomal RNA", at positions 29 to 507 of the family's 1533-position model. The record is from RNAcentral.
AGUGAACGCCCGCCGUAGGCCCUACACAUGUAAGUCCAACGGCAGCACAGUAAGAGCUUGCUCUUACGGGUGGCGAGUGGCGGACGGGUGAGGAAUACAUCGGAAUCUACUUUUUCGUGGGGGAUAACGUAGGGAAACUUACGCUAAUACCGCAUACGACCUACGGGUGAAAGCAGGGGAUCUUCGGACCUUGCGCGAUUGAAUGAGCCGAUGUCGGAUUAGCUAGUUGGCGGGGUAAAGGCCCACCAAGGCGACGAUCCGUAGCUGGUCUGAGAGGAUGAUCUGCCACACUGGAACUGAGACACGGUCCAGACUCCUACGGGAGGCAGCAGUGGGGAAUAUUGUACAAUGGGCGCAAUCCUGCUCCAGGCAUACCGCGUAGGUGAAAAAGGCCUUCGGGUUGUAAAGCCCUUUUGUUGGGAAAGAAAAGCAGCAGGUUAAUACCCCGCUGUUCUGACGGUACCCAAGAGAUGAGCACCGGGUAGGUUCGUG